CAAUAGCGUAUAUUAAAGUUGUUGCAGUUAAAAAGCUCGUAGUUGGAUUUCUGGUUGAAGCGACCGGUCGGGCGUUGAUUCGUCUGCACUGGAGUCGGUUUUGGCCAUCCUCUAGGAAAGUGCGUCUGGUAUUAAGUUAUCGGGCGUAUGAUCCUGGUCUUUUACUGUGAAAAAAUUAGAGUGUUUAAAGCAGGCCUUCGCCUUGAAUACAUUAGCAUGGAAUAAUAAGAUAGGGCUUUGGUCUAUUUUGUUGGUUUGCAGACCGAAGUAAUGAUUAAUAGGGAUAGUUGGGGGUAUUUAUAUUCCGAUGUCAGAGGUGAAAUUCUUAGAUUUUCGGAAGAUAAACUUAUGCGAAAGCAUUUACCAAGGAUGUUUNCAUUAA
This 382-nucleotide ribosomal RNA is filed under the name uncultured eukaryote. Its description in RNAcentral is "partial 18S ribosomal RNA". It matches the Rfam family "Eukaryotic small subunit ribosomal RNA", at positions 592 to 976 of the family's 1831-position model. The record is from RNAcentral.